GUGAGCUUAAGAGAAUGUCUGUUCCUCCAUCUCUCUUUCCUUCUCUGAUGCCCCCACCAUCCACAGGUUUGGGUUAGAGCACUGAGUUUUGUUUUCUACUCUGGUAACCUAUCUUCCAGUCGUUCCAGGUCUCAGACUAUGUAGUGUUGAGUCUUAGAGCAUUUAUUUUGUUACCCACCUCACAAUUUUGCUUUUGUUCACUGCCUCCUUUCAGUAGUGUGAGGAGAUAGGGACUUGUUGUCUAGUCCACUUCUGCCAUGUUCUCUCCCUUCUACACUGACAUUUUUAAUCAUUAAACAAAUAGAACAAAUUGAUCCAUCUGAACCUUCUGUAUAUUCAGCAUCAGGACAUUGUUCACUAUACAUAAUUUGACUUUCAUAUGCAACCUUAUUGAUAGCUUUCCAAUAUAAUACAACACACAUGCAAUAAUCAUAAAUAUCAAAUUUUAUCUAGAGGAAAUUUAUUAUUCAUAUCAGGAUAUUAUAUUGACACAGAAAUGGAGAAUAAAUUGUCAUACAUUUGAGGAGAUUACCCUAACCAUAGAUUCUAUACAUAUAGAAACUAUACCUACAUAUGUUAGAAAUAUAGAAAACUGUGUGUGGAUAAUAGUUUAUAAAUCAAACAGUAAGUUACUAUAUUGCAGUUAUACCUCUAAAUCAUUUGGUUAUAAAUUCACAAUGUGUAAAGUUGGCCAAUGCAAUCAGUGUUACUGUGAAUGGAAAAUCUUACUUAGCUUCCUAUACUCAAGAAAUG
Molecule: long non-coding RNA, 753 nt
Filed under: Marmota monax (woodchuck)
Lineage: Eukaryota; Metazoa; Chordata; Mammalia; Rodentia; Sciuridae
Source: RNAcentral